CCCUAGCCCUGAUCGCAGUGAAAAUCCCGGAAGGAGGCGAGAGCCGCCUUUGGCGGAGAGCGCCGACUGAGGAAUUGCAACGUAGAGCAGGUUCCCGG
RNAcentral lists this unclassified non-coding RNA (98 nucleotides) under Kaistella antarctica. Its description in RNAcentral is "Chryseobacterium antarcticum Flavo-1 RNA". Lineage: Bacteria; Pseudomonadati; Bacteroidota; Flavobacteriia; Flavobacteriales; Weeksellaceae. The record is from RNAcentral.